AACGAACGCUGGCGGCAUGCCUAACACAUGCAAGUCGAACGAGACCUUCGGGUCUAGUGGCGCACGGGUGCGUAACGCGUGGGAACCUGCCCUUAGGUUCGGAAUAACUCCCCGAAAGGGGUGCUAAUACCGGAUAAUGUCUUCGGACCAAAGAUUUAUCGCCUUUGGAUGGGCCCGCGUUGGAUUAGCUAGUUGUUAGGGUAAAAGCCUACCAAGGCGACGAUCCAUAGCUGGUCUGAGAGGAUGAUCAGCCACACUGGGACUGAGACACGGCCCAGACUCCUACGGGCGGCAGCAGUGGGGAAUAUUGGACAAUGGGCGAAAGCCUGAUCCAGCAAUGCCGCGUGAGUGAUGAAGGCCUUAGGGUUGUAAAGCUCUUUUACCCGGGAUGAUAAUGACAGUACCGGGAGAAUAAGCUCCGGCUAACUCCGUG
This 433-nucleotide ribosomal RNA is filed under the name uncultured bacterium. Its description in RNAcentral is "partial 16S ribosomal RNA". It matches the Rfam family "Bacterial small subunit ribosomal RNA", at positions 29 to 507 of the family's 1533-position model. The record is from RNAcentral.